UAGCAGAACCCCGAGUGGUAGUCGUUAUUAUUGGGCUUAAAGUGUUCGUAGCCGGCCGUGUAAGUCCGCUGUGAAAUCCAGGCGCUUAACGUCUGGGCGUGCAGCGGAUACUGCACUGGCUUGGGACCGGACGGUGUCGAGGCUAUUCCAAGAGUAGGGGUGAAAUCCUAAAAUUCCUGGAGGAGCGCCUGUGGCGGAAGCGCUCGACAAGUACGGAUCCGACGGUGAGGAACGAAAGCCAGGGGAGCAA
Molecule: ribosomal RNA, 250 nt
Filed under: uncultured Nanohalarchaeota archaeon
Lineage: Archaea; Nanobdellati; Candidatus Nanohalarchaeota
Description: uncultured Nanohaloarchaeota archaeon partial 16S ribosomal RNA
Rfam family: Archaeal small subunit ribosomal RNA
Source: RNAcentral